UGGACAGAAAGAAGUAGCAGAUUUUAAACUAUAACAAAGCUUUAUUUAAGCUAUAACAAGACUGAUUUGCACUUUGAACUUACAUGACCUUAGAUUUGCUGAUUUACUCAAGUCAUUUGAUUCCUGAUUUCUUUGAGAGUAUGAAAGUCUAGAUCUGAAUAAAAUUAAGAAGAAAGAGAUUCCAUAAUCACAGCAGAUGAAGAAUCACUGGUAAAACAAUCAAGAUUUUUGGCUUACCCUCCAAAGAAAAGGCAGAUACUGAAGAGGCUCAUAGCUAUUAGACAUCAUCAAAAGAACACUGACA
Condylura cristata (star-nosed mole) is the source of this 304-nucleotide long non-coding RNA. RefSeq lists it as uncharacterized. The transcript has 3 exons. Lineage: Eukaryota; Metazoa; Chordata; Mammalia; Eulipotyphla; Talpidae. The record is from RefSeq and is a predicted model, not a curated record.